Molecule: ribosomal RNA, 405 nt
Filed under: Austruca lactea
Lineage: Eukaryota; Metazoa; Arthropoda; Malacostraca; Decapoda; Ocypodidae
Description: partial 12S ribosomal RNA
Source: RNAcentral
UAUUUACUUAAAAACUAAAAAAUUUGGCGGUAAUUUAAUCUUCUCAGAGGAAUUUGUUUCUUAAUCGAUAAACCACGAAGUAUCUUGCUUAUUUAGAAUAAUUAGUUUGUAUACCAUCAUUAUCAGGUAAUUUUAAAAGAAAGAAUUGCUUAAAUUAAUGUUUAUUAAAAAAAUUAGAUCAUGGUGCAGCUUAUGAAUAAGUUGAAAUGGAUUACAAUAAAUUAUUUUAUUUACGGAUUUAUAAAGUAAGAAUUUAUAAUGAAGGAGGAUUUGGUUGUAUUACAAGUUUAAUAAGCUUGUAAGAUAUAUAGGCUCUAAAUUAUGUACAUAUCGCCCGUCGCUUUCACUCAUAGGUGAAAUAAGUCGUAACAUAGUAGAUGUACUGGAAAGUGCAUCUAGAAUUAU